ACAGAUCGUUCAGAGUUUGAUCCUGGCUCAGAACGAACGCUGGCGGCAGGCCUAACACAUGCAAGUCGAACGGACCCUUCGGGGUCAGUGGCAGACGGGUGAGUAACGCGUGGGAAUCUACCCGGUUCUUCGGAAUAACCCAGGGAAACUUGGGCUAAUACCGGAUACGCCCUUAGGGGGAAAGAUUUAUCGGAAUUGGAUGAGCCCGCGUCGGAUUAGCUAGUUGGUGGGGUAAUGGCCUACCAAGGCGACGACCCGUAGCUGGUCUGAGAGGAUGAUCAGCCACACUGGGACUGAGACACGGCCCAG
RNAcentral lists this ribosomal RNA (309 nucleotides) under uncultured bacterium. RNAcentral's name for it is "partial 16S ribosomal RNA". It matches the Rfam family "Bacterial small subunit ribosomal RNA", at positions 1 to 334 of the family's 1533-position model. The record is from RNAcentral.